This 252-nucleotide ribosomal RNA is filed under the name uncultured bacterium. Its description in RNAcentral is "partial 16S ribosomal RNA". It matches the Rfam family "Bacterial small subunit ribosomal RNA", at positions 524 to 776 of the family's 1533-position model. The record is from RNAcentral.
UACGGAGGAUGCGAGCGUUAUCCGGAUUUAUUGGGUUUAAAGGGUGCGCAGGCGGCGUGUCAAGUCAGCGGUAAAAUGUCGGGGCUCAACCCCGGCCGGCCGUUGAAACUGGCGUGCUCGAGUUGGAGAGAAGUAUGCGGAAUUCGUGGUGUAGCGGUGAAAUGCAUAGAUAUCACGAAGAACCCCGAUUGCGAAGGCAGCAUACCGGCUCCAGACUGACGCCGAGGCACGAAAGCGUGGGGAGCAAACAGG